Molecule: ribosomal RNA, 253 nt
Filed under: uncultured bacterium
Lineage: Bacteria
Description: partial 16S ribosomal RNA
Rfam family: Bacterial small subunit ribosomal RNA
Source: RNAcentral
UACGUAGGGGGCUAGCGUUGUCCGGAAUCAUUGGGCGUAAAGCGCGUGUAGGCGGUUCGGUAAGUCCGCUGUGAAAGUCGGGGGCUCAACCCUCGAAUGCCGGUGGAUACUGUCGGACUAGAGUACGGAAGAGGCGAGUGGAAUUCCUGGUGUAGCGGUGAAAUGCGCAGAUAUCAGGAAGAACACCAAUGGCGAAAGCAGCUCUCUGGGACGGUACUGACGCUGAGACGCGAAAGCGUGGGGAGCGAACAGG